Molecule: non-coding RNA, 222 nt
Organism: Chiloscyllium plagiosum (whitespotted bambooshark)
Lineage: Eukaryota; Metazoa; Chordata; Chondrichthyes; Orectolobiformes; Hemiscylliidae
Source: RefSeq, a predicted model, not a curated record
AGCCAAUCAGAGACCAGCAGCUGGGAUCGGCUUCACAAUGGCAUCGGAGGCAUUAGCUGUUGUUGGAAAUGUACCCUUCUGAGAAAAGCAAGGUCCAGAACUAAGGCCAGACAUCUGAGUGACUUUAUGCUAUAAAGCUGCUGCGAUGGCUAAGAUGCUGAUUUGGAGUUUCUCAUUGGCUGUUCGCUCAACUGCGACAUCUAGGAAUGGCAGUUUGACAUU